This 74-nucleotide transfer RNA is filed under the name Exophiala spinifera. RNAcentral describes it as "tRNA-Met (CAT) (tRNA-Met-CAT-1-1)". It matches the Rfam family "tRNA". Rfam says of the family: Transfer RNA (tRNA) molecules are approximately 80 nucleotides in length. Their secondary structure includes four short double-helical elements and three loops (D, anti-codon, and T loops). RNAcentral also lists the same sequence under 1 other name. Lineage: Eukaryota; Fungi; Ascomycota; Eurotiomycetes; Chaetothyriales; Herpotrichiellaceae. The record is from RNAcentral.
GCUUCCUUGGUGUAGUUGGCUAUCACGUGAGUCUCAUAAUCUCAAGGUCGCCAGUUCGAUCCUGGCAGGGAGCA